AAACAUGCUCUUGACACAUACAUAUUCUAUAAGAGGUCCAGCCUGCCCAGUGACAUUUUUAACGGCCGCGGUACUCUGACCGUGCGAAGGUAGCAUAAUCACUUGUUCUUUAAAUGGGGACUAGUAUCAACGGCAUCACGAGGAUUUUACUGUCUCCUUUUUCUAAUCGGUGAAACUGAUCUCCCCGUGAAGAAGCGGGGAUAAUACUAUAAGACGAGAAGACCCCAUGGAGCUUUAAACCCAGUAACAUCUCAAACUCUUUAUUCCCCCUUAGUUUUUAUGCAUUGUCUGCUGGUUUUAGGUUGGGGUGACCGCGGAGUAUAACUUAACCUCCACAGCGCACGGAACUUAUUCCUUAUCCAAGAGCCACAUCUCGAAGAAUCAAUAAAUUGACGUAAAAUGAUCCAUAACCUUGAUUAAUGAACCAAGUUACCCUGGGGAUAACAGCGCAAUCCAUUUUUAGAGCUCCUAUCGACAAAUGGGUUUACGACCUCGAUGUUGGAUCAGGGUAUCCCAGUGGUGCAGCCGCUACUAAUGGUUUGUUUGUUCAACAAUUAAACCCUACGUUGAUC
RNAcentral lists this ribosomal RNA (572 nucleotides) under Fejervarya sp. hpB. Its description in RNAcentral is "partial 16S rRNA". It matches the Rfam family "Bacterial large subunit ribosomal RNA", at positions 1813 to 2605 of the family's 2925-position model. Lineage: Eukaryota; Metazoa; Chordata; Amphibia; Anura; Dicroglossidae. The record is from RNAcentral.